GGGGUUGUGGCUCAGCAGUUCAGCGCUCGCCCCACACGUGAAAGGCCCUGGGUUCGAUCCUCAGCACCACA
This 71-nucleotide transfer RNA is filed under the name Marmota monax (woodchuck). Its description in RNAcentral is "tRNA.Val". The record is from RNAcentral. Lineage: Eukaryota; Metazoa; Chordata; Mammalia; Rodentia; Sciuridae.